AUAGUUAUUCUCCAUGUUCCCGAAACCCUAGUUUCCAAGGCAACAUGUAUGAACAUCUUCCAUAACAAUAAGUGCAACUUUCCUUUUCUUGGAAUGCACUUAUUCCUCUUUCUUUAAGUCAUAAACUUGUUCCUCAAGUUUAUUCAUAUUUCCAUAUCUCCAAGAUACUCUCUUGCUCUCCAAGUCUACACGACUCCAGCUCAACACCUUGACUCCACAUGGUCUUCACCACUCA
RNAcentral lists this long non-coding RNA (235 nucleotides) under Brassica napus (rape). Its description in RNAcentral is "long non-coding RNA (BNAP_LNC025008)". Lineage: Eukaryota; Viridiplantae; Streptophyta; Magnoliopsida; Brassicales; Brassicaceae. The record is from RNAcentral.